AGAACGAACGCUGGCGGCAUGCCUAACACAUGCAAGUCGAACGAGACCUUCGGGUCUAGUGGCGCACGGGUGCGUAACGCGUGGGAAUCUACCCUUGGGUUCGGAAUGACAGUUGGAAACGACUGCUAAUACCGGAUGAUGUCGCAAGACCAAAGAUUUAUCGCCCAAGGAUGAGCCCGCGUAGGAUUAGCUAGUUGGUGAGGUAAAGGCUCACCAAGGCGAACAUCCUUAGCUGGUCUGAGAGGAUGAUCAGCCACACUGGGACUGAGACACGGCCCAAGACCUCCGUACGGAGGCAGCAGGUGGGAAUAUGACAAUGGGCGAAAGCCUGAUCCGAAGCGAAGUGACCGACGUGAGGUGAAUUGAACGGCCUUUAGGGGUUGUAAAACGUCUUA
This 395-nucleotide ribosomal RNA is filed under the name uncultured soil bacterium. RNAcentral describes it as "bacterial SSU rRNA". It matches the Rfam family "Bacterial small subunit ribosomal RNA", at positions 26 to 437 of the family's 1533-position model. The record is from RNAcentral.